This 490-nucleotide ribosomal RNA is filed under the name uncultured bacterium. Its description in RNAcentral is "partial 16S ribosomal RNA". It matches the Rfam family "Bacterial small subunit ribosomal RNA", at positions 36 to 507 of the family's 1533-position model. The record is from RNAcentral.
CUUUCCCUCUGGCGGCAGGCCUAACACAUGCAAGUCGAACGGUAACAGGAAGAAGCUUGCUUCUUUGCUGACGAGUGGCGGACGGGUGAGUAAUGUCUGGGAAACUGCCUGAUGGAGGGGGAUAACUACUGGAAACGGUAGCUAAUACCGCAUAACGUCGCAAGACCAAAGAGGGGGACCUUCGGGCCUCUUGCCAUCGGAUGUGCCCAGAUGGGAUUAGCUAGUAGGUGGGGUAACGGCUCACCUAGGCGACGAUCCCUAGCUGGUCUGAGAGGAUGACCAGCCACACUGGAACUGAGGCACGGUCCAGACUCCUACGGGAGGCAGCAGUGGGGAAUAUUGCACAAUGGGCGCAAGCCUGAUGCAGCCAUGCCGCGUGUAUGAAGAAGGCCUUCGGGUUGUAAAGUACUUUCAGCGGGGAGGAAGGGAGUAAAGUUAAUACCUUGGCUCAUUGACGUUACCCGCAGAAGAAGCACCGGCUAACUCCGUG